This 67-nucleotide transfer RNA is filed under the name Symsagittifera roscoffensis. RNAcentral's name for it is "tRNA-Ser". The record is from RNAcentral. Lineage: Eukaryota; Metazoa; Xenacoelomorpha; Acoela; Convolutidae.
AAGAUAGCCUAACUGGAUUAAUGACUUCUAAUCAUAUAAGUGUUAAAUAAUCAUAACAAUAUCUUUC